This 842-nucleotide ribosomal RNA is filed under the name Mycobacterium avium subsp. avium. RNAcentral's name for it is "bacterial SSU rRNA". It matches the Rfam family "Bacterial small subunit ribosomal RNA", at positions 36 to 879 of the family's 1533-position model. The record is from RNAcentral. Lineage: Bacteria; Bacillati; Actinomycetota; Actinomycetes; Mycobacteriales; Mycobacteriaceae.
CUGGCGGCGUGCUUAACACAUGCAAGUCGAACGGAAAGGCCUCUUCGGAGGUACUCGAGUGGCGAACGGGUGAGUAACACGUGGGCAAUCUGCCCUGCACUUCGGGAUAAGCCUGGGAAACUGGGUCUAAUACCGGAUAGGACCUCAAGACGCAUGUCUUCUGGUGGAAAGCUUUUGCGGUGUGGGAUGGGCCCGCGGCCUAUCAGCUUGUUGGUGGGGUGACGGCCUACCAAGGCGACGACGGGUAGCCGGCCUGAGAGGGUGUCCGGCCACACUGGGACUGAGAUACGGCCCAGACUCCUACGGGAGGCAGCAGUGGGGAAUAUUGCACAAUGGGCGCAAGCCUGAUGCAGCGACGCCGCGUGGGGGAUGACGGCCUUCGGGUUGUAAACCUCUUUCACCAUCGACGAAGGUCCGGGUUUUCUCGGAUUGACGGUAGGUGGAGAAGAAGCACCGGCCAACUACGUGCCAGCAGCCGCGGUAAUACGUAGGGUGCGAGCGUUGUCCGGAAUUACUGGGCGUAAAGAGCUCGUAGGUGGUUUGUCGCGUUGUUCGUGAAAUCUCACGGCUUAACUGUGAGCGUGCGGGCGAUACGGGCAGACUAGAGUACUGCAGGGGAGACUGGAAUUCCUGGUGUAGCGGUGGAAUGCGCAGAUAUCAGGAGGAACACCGGUGGCGAAGGCGGGUCUCUGGGCAGUAACUGACGCUGAGGAGCGAAAGCGUGGGGAGCGAACAGGAUUAGAUACCCUGGUAGUCCACGCCGUAAACGGUGGGUACUAGGUGUGGGUUUCCUUCCUUGGGAUCCGUGCCGUAGCUAACGCAUUAAGUACCCCGCCUGGGGA